This 558-nucleotide ribosomal RNA is filed under the name Escherichia coli. RNAcentral describes it as "bacterial LSU rRNA". It matches the Rfam family "Bacterial large subunit ribosomal RNA", at positions 2390 to 2925 of the family's 2925-position model. The record is from RNAcentral. Lineage: Bacteria; Pseudomonadati; Pseudomonadota; Gammaproteobacteria; Enterobacterales; Enterobacteriaceae.
CGAGCAGGUGCGAAAGCAGGUCAUAGUGAUCCGGUGGUUCUGAAUGGAAGGGCCAUCGCUCAACGGAUAAAAGGUACUCCGGGGAUAACAGGCUGAUACCGCCCAAGAGUUCAUAUCGACGGCGGUGUUUGGCACCUCGAUGUCGGCUCAUCACAUCCUGGGGCUGAAGUAGGUCCCAAGGGUAUGGCUGUUCGCCAUUUAAAGUGGUACGCGAGCUGGGUUUAGAACGUCGUGAGACAGUUCGGUCCCUAUCUGCCGUGGGCGCUGGAGAACUGAGGGGGGCUGCUCCUAGUACGAGAGGACCGGAGUGGACGCAUCACUGGUGUUCGGGUUGUCAUGCCAAUGGCACUGCCCGGUAGCUAAAUGCGGAAGAGAUAAGUGCUGAAAGCAUCUAAGCACGAAACUUGCCCCGAGAUGAGUUCUCCCUGACUCCUUGAGAGUCCUGAAGGAACGUUGAAGGCGACGACGUUGAUAGGCCGGGUGUGUAAGCGCAGCGAUGCGUUGAGCUAACCGGUACUAAUGAACCGUGAGGCUUAACCUUACAACGCCGAAGCUGUU